Molecule: long non-coding RNA, 278 nt
Filed under: Solanum tuberosum (potato)
Lineage: Eukaryota; Viridiplantae; Streptophyta; Magnoliopsida; Solanales; Solanaceae
Description: long non-coding RNA (STUB_LNC010578)
Source: RNAcentral
UCAAAAAGAUUAAUUUGUAGUUGGUUGGUUAGGGUUUAGGGAGGGUUUGUUGGUUGGUUCAUGUGUGGUAUUGAAUCAUAUUUGUUGUUAUUUUCAUUAAGAAAUAUUUGAUUUUGUGUUGUGGUUGCAGAUACAAAUAUAAUGCCUCCUGUCAAAAGAAAAAUUGUAUCAACAACUGACACAAAGAUUCAUAAGAGGCCUAGGACUAAAUCUUGUAGGAAGAAGAAUGAAAAUUUGACUUCCACUCUUUUAGAAGAACUUGCAUCUGAAACAGUUUC